Molecule: ribosomal RNA, 253 nt
Filed under: uncultured bacterium
Lineage: Bacteria
Description: partial 16S ribosomal RNA
Rfam family: Bacterial small subunit ribosomal RNA
Source: RNAcentral
UACGAAGGGGGCUAGCGUUGCUCGGAAUUACUGGGCGUAAAGGGCUCGUAGGCGGCCAACUAAGUCAGACGUGAAAUCCCUCGGCUUAACCGGGGAACUGCGUCUGAUACUGGAUGGCUUGAGGUUGGGAGAGGGAUGCGGAAUUCCAGGUGUAGCGGUGAAAUGCGUAGAUAUCAGGAGGAACACCUGCGGUGUAGACGGCUUACUGGACGGUAACUGACGCUGAGGCACGAAAGCGUGGGGAGCGAACCGG